GUGCCAGCCGCCGCGGUAAUACGAAGGAUGCAAGCGUUAUCCGGAUUCAUUGGGUUUAAAGGGAGCGUAGGUGGCCUUAUAAGUCAGUGGUGAAAUCUCUCGGCUUAACCGAGAAAUUGCCAUUGAUACUGUAGGGCUUGAGUAUAGUUGCCGUUGGCGGAAUAUGACAUGUAGUGGUGAAAUACAUAGAGAUGUCAUAGAACACCGAUUGCGAAGGCAGCUGACGAAACUAUAACUGACACUGAGGCUCGAAAGUGCGGGGAUCAAACAGGAUUAGAUACCCGCGUAGUCC
This 292-nucleotide ribosomal RNA is filed under the name uncultured bacterium. RNAcentral describes it as "partial 16S ribosomal RNA". It matches the Rfam family "Bacterial small subunit ribosomal RNA", at positions 505 to 796 of the family's 1533-position model. The record is from RNAcentral.